Lycium ferocissimum is the source of this 9488-nucleotide RNA transcript. RefSeq lists it as uncharacterized. NCBI's taxonomy places the organism in Eukaryota, Viridiplantae, Streptophyta, Magnoliopsida, Solanales, Solanaceae. The transcript has 22 exons. The record is from RefSeq and is a predicted model, not a curated record.
UUUCGCCAGAAAAGAAAGAAAACUAAUGUAAAAGACAGGAAAAUUUUGAUGCAUUUCCGUUUACGCGCAGAGAAAUUUUGAUGCUUUGUUUCCCACCCUCACAGUGAGCAAAAUAGGGAAGGUCGAAAACCCUAAGAAUUGAAGGAAUGUCGAAGAAAGUGGUGACAAGGAGAGAGCUGUUGGACCGAUGGAGGGGCAUCGAAGAAGAAGACGACAACGACAUUGACCUUCUCAAGCGACAUCGUUUCCGCCACCUCAAAGAAGAAUGGUUUUCAGAUGCAUUCAACUACUUGAUCUUUUUGCCCGAAGAAAAUCAUAUUUGGUGUGGUUCCUGGGACCUGAUGGGACCUCUUCUGGAGACUUUCUAUAAUUAUUUUAAGGAUGAUCGCAGUGAUUCUCCUCUAAAGCUCCUACGGGACAGAACAUCUAGGGAAAUGCGCCAGUGCACUCAAUGUAUAUGUCAAUACCAUCAAGCCCAAGAGCUUUAUAGUACAGAAUAUGACCCUAGUACCAUUGGUCCUCUUCUUGAGGUCUUGCGCACUCUUGACGAAGAAAGAAUCAGUCAACAUCUUAAAGAGAUUAAUAACAGAAUAAGAUGUGGAGAGUACAACAUAGUGCAUGGCAGUGGAGAAAUUGUUAGCGUCAUGUUUGAGGUUUUGAUGUUCCCGAUUUUGUUAGAUGAUUCUUAUUUGGCAAGUGAAUUUGAGACAUUCAUUGACGCAAUAGAUAAAACUCAUGAACUGACCUUGGGUGGACACCAGCAGUAUCCGGGAGUUUAUGCAUUACUUUUCCAUAAAGGCCGAAGAACUCGUUCUAUAGGUUUGCGAUUGGCUGGACGCAUGAGUAAAUUGAGGCAAUCUGCAGAUUUGGAUGCUUUGCAGCCUUUGUUGAAGAAAUACAUUUCUUAUUUGGCAACAGACGUUUUGCCAUCAUCUACUCCGAAUCCAAGGCCUAGGGUUGAGUUGGAUCGAGUAACUGUAUGGCUUGGGAUCAAAGCAUUGCUUGGAUUCUUGGAGCCUCCAACUUUUGAAGAAGGCAUUUUAGAUCGCUAUCCCAUUUUUCUGAGUGUCGUUCUCAACCAUAUUAGUGAUGAUUCACCAGAGUUUUCUUAUGCAGUUAAUUGUCUAAGAUUAUUGUUUGAGAUGCUUGGAUAUAAGCUUUGGUUGAAGACUUCACUAUCUCCAAGUGUGAUGCGCAACACACUAUUGGGUCAGUGUUUCCACACUCGAAAUGAGAAAAGCCAUAAGGAAAUUUUUGAUCUUUUCCAGCCUUUUCUACAGUCUCUUGAAGCUUUACAAGACGGAGAACAUGAAAAGCAACGGAGAAAUCUUCUUUAUUUUCUCCUGCAUCAAGUUACUGCGAGUAGUAACUUCAGCUUGCUCAUGAGAAAAAAGGCUUGCCAGAUAGCUCUUCUCAUAGUUCACCGAGGUUAUACUAUGAACCCGCCUUCUCCGCCAUAUGAAUGUGCACAUAUGUGGGGACCUUCUCUUGUGUGCUCUCUGAAAGAUUCAUCACUUCACAGUUCUCUCCGUCAACCUGCCUUUGAUGUUAUUCAAACUAUUUUAGUUUCUGAUGCUUCAGCUCUGGUAACUUCAAUUCUGAAGUAUCAACUUGCUACGAGUGAUGAAAGAUGCUUGCCGUUCCAGCUUGAUGAAGAAGAGGGCCAAGGAAAUUUGUUUGGUUGUGAUUUUGAAGAAUAUGAUGUCAGUUGUUGGAAGGAGUUUAGUUCUCAAGCUGAUAUAACAUCAGAUUUAUGUGGGGAUUGGAUGUGCGUCCCAAUGUUGUGGUUUGAGGUUUUAGUUGAAAUUGAUCCCUUGAUUCUUCCAGUAUCAUUUGCUAAGGCUGUUUUCUGGGCUUUGUCACGCCUUUCUUUACUAGAAUCUGAUAAUGACUCUGAUAUUGAACCUUCAGUUGGUCAUUGGUUGAGAACCUGUGGUUCAGAUAUCUCUCAGGUUUUGAAUUGGAAGGUUCCAUCUGGUUCAAAUGAUGGUGGCGAGGGAGUGGAAUAUAAAAACUCCAUUAAGGUCUCAACAAAGUGUAUACCUUUAAUUAGGCUUUUCAAGAGGUCGACUGCUCAUUUCAUCAUCAGAAUGGAGCAAGGGGAGCUAAGGAAGCAGUGGACAUGGGAGCCCAUGAUGAGUGACAGUUUGAUUCUUCUGCUCGUGGAUUCCAACGAUAAUGCUAGACAUGUUGGUCGGUGUAUUCUUGAACAAGUUUCAAAUACACGAGGCCUAACAAGUGGACUGCAGUUUCUUUGCUCCAGCCAAUCUUCACUCUCAGCUACCUUUACAGGGUUAAGGCAUGGUCUAAAGCUGGUUCAGUUGGACUGCGUUCUAUCGGAAUUUCAGACUUUGCAUCAUUUCUUUUUUGUUUUGUGCAAACUACUAAAAGAAGGGAAUUCGUGUACCCAACCUCUAGUCAGAAAAUCAUCUGAGGACUCUAGUAUCUCAAAAUUUUCUUCUCAAGGGGGAUUCCUAAAGCAGCCAGUGGUGCAAACUCAAACUGAGCACAUGGACGCACAUAAAUCAGUUGUCAGUUCCAUUUUAUGGGAGAAAUUUUGUUGCUUACUCUCAGAAAUGGCUUGGAUCUCUGUUCAGAAGUGCUUGUCAGCUGGGAAGGUGUUUAUAGAUCAAAAACCAUCUCAGAUGACCUGCAUCAGAUUAUUAGAGACCCUUCCUGUUGUUUUUGGAAGGCUUUGCCGAGAUCCGACUACAGUGCUUAAUAAUGCAGUGACACAAUGUCUUUCUGAUCUGAUAGAUUGGGGGCAUUCACCACUUGCAGUAGUGGUCAGAUAUUGGAAAGAUGCUUUAAUUUCAUUGCUGAUUCUGAUUAAAGCAUCAUGCAGCGGUGUCCCUGCCUCAUUAGCCGCAGAUAUUGAGAAACUUAUUUCAUGUGAUAAUAUUCCAAUGAAUGUGUUGAACAAACAAGUUGCUCGGCUUUCUGUUUCACUUGUGGAUGGGAGUUACACUGACUUGAAAAAAACUAGUGUUGAUUUCAAAUGUUUGCCUGGUGAAGAAUCUGUUCUUGCUGACAACUCUUUAGCUGAAGCAGCCAAGCCUUUUAGUGGGGUUGGUAAAAGAAUGCAUAUUCCAGACUUGAAAACAUUAGUUGGUGAGGAAAGAAGUAAUUUGAUAGUUAAUUCAGGUGAUGAAACAGAAACAGAUACGUCUGCUGGUGCUGAUAUCAAUUCUGGUGUCAGCUUCGAUCCUAAACCUGUUGGCCAUAUUGCUGGGAGAGUUUUGUAUUCUGAUCCUGUGAAAGAAAUUGACUCCAGGAAGAUUUCUCAGCCAGUUGAUCUUUGUUUGGAUCUGGAUAUCCAAAGACUUGAAUUAGAUGCUCUACAGGCUUCGCCUCUUGCCAAAUCAAAAGCUAUGGAGCCUAAGAGCAAGGGAACUGAUAUCAAUUGCCAUUUAAAUUGUAUAAAUCUGAAUUCCAAAGAAAAUAGUUCUGUCACCUCUGAGCUUCGUUCUGCUGUAGGGAGCUCAUCUCAUGGAGGCGUGAGUAUGAAAGAGAAUGAUGGGAAAGCUGAUGAACGGGUUAUAAAAAGUAAUGAUGCAGUCUUGAAAGAGCUUGUAUGUGAAAACAAAAGUGAUCGGGAGUUAGCUUUUCUCACUUCAGCUAGACGUCAACAAUCAUUCUCCAUAAAAACAGGUCUCUCCGGGCCGAAAAGGAAAGUCAUUCAACUCAGCUUGCCAGUUGAUAAUAAGUCUAAUGCUUUGAGAUUGGAUGAUGGAGUGAAGAGAUUUAAAGCUGUGAGGCUUGAUGAUUGGUAUAGACCUAUUCUAGAGUUCAAUUACUUUUUAACAGUUGGAUUGACAACUGAAGGUGCAGGAAAGAAUGAUAGUUUGAGUAAAUUAAAGGAGGUUCCUGUUCGUUUCCAAUCUGUUGAUGAAUAUGUUGAAAUUUUCCGUCCACUUAUAUUGGAGGAGUUUAAAGCACAACUGCAGAGUUCCUUUCAGGAGAUAACUUCUCUAGAAGAGAUGUCUUGCGGCAGUCUUUCUGUAAUGUCAGUUGAAAGAAUUGAUGAUUUUCACUUCAUUCGCUGUGUUCACGAGGAUGUUGAUUCAGCUGGUUCUAAAAGCUGCUCAGACAAUGAUCUUAUUUUGCUUACACGACAACCCCUGAGGAAUUCUUGUCCGGAUAUUCACAUCGUGGGAAAGGUGGAAAAACGUGAAAAAGAUUGUAAGAGGAGAUCAAGUAUCGUACUCAUCAGGUUGUACUUGCAAAAUAGACCUCAUCUGAUGCGAGCUCGAAAGUUUCUUGUUGAGCGAAGCAAAUGGUGCAUUAGUCGGCUAAUGACCAUAACUUCUCAACUCAGAGAAUUUCAAGCAUUGUCGGCUAUUAGGGGAAUCCCUUUGCUUCCUGUUAUCUUGAAUCCCACCAGUUACGAUCACAGUAAGCACUGCGGUGAGAGUUUCAAUAAACUAUCUCGACCUUUGCAGCAAGUCCUCAAAACGGCAUAUAAUGACAGUCAACUGCAAGCUAUCAGUGCUGCUAUUGGACCUUUUGAUCCUAAAAAGGAUUUUCAAUUAUCCCUAAUACAGGGUCCUCCAGGUACCGGGAAGACCCGAGUGAUCGUGGCCAUUGUCAGUUCUUUGCUUGCUUUCUCCCAAGUGGACACCAAGAGAUCAUCAAAUGGAGGUCCAAAGUCUACUGGAAUGUCUCGCACUGCUUCAAGACAGCGGAUUUGUCAAGCUGCAGCUGUUGCUAGGGCAUGGCAGGACGCAGCCUUGGCUAGACAACUUAACGAAGAUUUAGAGAAUGAUAAACCAAUGGGAAACUGUAGUAAAAGAAGAAUACUCAUCUGUGCACAAUCAAAUGCUGCUGUAGAUGAACUAGUGUCCAGGAUAACCAGUGAAGGCCUUUAUGGCAGUGAUGGGACGAUGUAUAAGCCUUAUAUCGUUAGAGUAGGUAAUGCGAAAACAGUUCAUCCUAAUUCAUUGCCGUUCUUCAUUGAUACACUUGUUGAUCACCGCAUAGCUGAGGAGAAAAUGAAUGCAACCGAUUCAACGAAUGAUGCCGACAAGGAUACUUUGACAUUCUUGCGGUCUAAUCUUGAGAAGUUGGUUGAUACUAUCAAAUGUUAUGAAGCUAAAAGAGCUAGUUUACGGGAUGGAAAUUCUGAUUCCAACUGUUUAUUGGAAGGAGACACUGAUAAAGCAGAUAAUGCAAAGGAAUUGUCUGAUGCAGAAGUAGAAGCAAAGCUGAGAAUAUUAUAUGAAAAAAAGAAAUCAAUAUACAUGGAUCUCGCUGCUGCUCAGGCACGGGAGAAGAAAGCUAAUGAAGAAACAAAAGCUCUUAGACAAAAAUUACGGAAGGCUAUACUAAAAGAGGCUGAGAUUGUGGUGACUACACUGAGUGGCUGUGGUGGAGAUCUGUAUGGGGUUUGUGCAGCAUCUGUGUCCAGCCAGAGAUUUAGCAGUUCAUCGGAGGGUGUCCUAUUUGAUGCAGUUGUGAUUGAUGAAGCUGCUCAAGCUCUGGAACCUGCUUCCCUCAUACCACUUCAACUCUUAAAAUCAAAGGGAACUAGAUGUGUGAUGGUGGGUGAUCCAAAGCAGCUUCCAGCCACGGUUCUCUCUAACAUUGCCAGCAAAUUUUCUUUCCAAUGUAGCAUGUUUGAACGCUUGCAAAGGGCUGGUUAUCCUGUCAACAUGCUCACACGGCAGUAUAGGAUGCACCCGGAGAUAUGCCGCUUUCCUUCUUUCCAUUUUUAUGAUGGUAAAUUGGUUGAUGGAGACCAGUUAUCCAGCAAAGUUGCAUCAUUUCAUGGCACUAAGGGCCUUGGUCCCUAUGUAUUCUUUGAUGUUGUGGAUGGGAAGGAGCUCCAUGAUAAAAAAUCUGGCACAUUAUCCCUCUACAAUGAGUGUGAGGCUGAUGCUGCAGUUGAAGUGUUAAGAUUUUUCAAGAGGAGGUUCCCAUCUGAGUUUGUUGGUGGAAGAAUUGGUAUUAUAACUCCUUAUCGGUGUCAGCUUUCUCUACUACGCUCUCGAUUUUCAAGUGCAUUUGGAUCUUCUAUCACUGCUGACAUGGAGUUUAAUACAGUCGAUGGUUUUCAAGGUCGAGAAGUUGAUAUAGUUAUACUCUCCACUGUGAGGGCAUUCGAGGCAUGCUCGAAUGCAACACAGAUUAAUUCUAGCCGUAUUGGUUUUGUGGCUGAUGUAAGGCGGAUGAAUGUUGCUUUGACUAGGGCAAGGCUGUCUUUGUGGAUCAUGGGUAACGCAAGGACAUUGCGGACGAACCAAAACUGGGCAGCUUUAGUGAAGAAUGCAAAAGAAAGAGAGUUAGUGAUGUCACUUAAAAGACCAUAUAAUGCUACUUUUAAAUCAUGUGAUCUGGAGAAACAUUUGACUUUAGAUAAACCAGAAAACUAUUCAAGGAAUUUGAAGCAUGUUAAAGGGGCUGAAGCCACAUAUGAGCAUGCUGAUAGACAAAAGAAGAAUGUAAAGCAUGUGACAGAUAGGAAAAGAAAAGACGCCAGCUUUGGAGCUCCAAUUGACACUCCAGUACGUGCUGAUCUGUCUGGAAAAAACGUUGAGGGGGAACAAAGAUCUAAAGAUGAAAAUAGUCUUUUGUUGGAAAAGGAUCUCGAUAAUUAUGAUGGCAGAAAUACCAAGGGUGUGCAUAUUUUACUCGGGAAAAAUCAAUCAGAAUCAAGUGAAAGUUGCGAAAAGAUCAGUAAGAAGCACAGGAAAGAGAGGAAAGUACAUGGGCAUUGCGGAAAACAAUGUGACAGCUUAGAGAGUAACUCGGGGAAUUCAAAGAAGUCAGGGAGUGAUAACCAUAAACAUUCUAUAUCUGUUGCAUCUGAAAAAGUUCAAGAACCUUUGGAACGCGAUGAUAAACUGCAGAAUACGAGAGGUUGGAAGAAGCCUGCUACGACAACUCUUCUGCAGAAGGAUGUGGAAGAUGGGAUUGGAGCUUGUAAUCAGGUUAAAAAACCUGAUCAUAUAAUAUCAGAGAGGAAGCAACAACGUGAUGCUGUUGAUGCUCUUCUUUCUUCAGCACUAAUAUCUUCGAACAAGUCUAGGUCUUCACUAAGAUCUUUGCCUGCUAAAAGGACGAGUUCACCAAAUGCUGGAGGCCCUCCAAUUAGACCACCUAAGCAAAAUAAGGUAAUGUCUUUAAGUCACUGAUCAAGUUCGAGAGAUGAUCAGAAGUUACAUCUUCCUCAUUCUAUCCCAUAAUUAUUGUCCUCUUUGCACGAUCGAUGGUUAAUGUGACUAUCUGACAAAGUGAAACCACAGGCGGUGAAGUUAAAUUUUGAAAAUAGUCUUAGACGUUCAUCAUUAACUAUAUGAGAAAUGCGAGCUUUUUGAACUUUUCACAUUUUAAAAUGUUAAAUAUUGAUUUUUUUUUUUUUGGUUAAACUUGGAACUAAUUAAGCUGGAUUCUUGAAAGAGUAACGGUCAUUCAACCUAAGAUGGCCAACUAUAUAAAUUGUCAAAUUCGUUUCUCUGUUUGGACCCAUUUCAUAUAUUGUCUUACUUCUACUAAUCCGAAUUUUUCUUUCUUGAAAAAGGUAAUGAUUGGUUCCACAAAAUAACACAAAGGGAGUGCUGUAAAUUCUUUACACGUGAGCUAAAACCCAGAAGUAUGACCCUCUGAACUUAGACAGACUCUAUGAGCUCUAAUAAGUUUCUGCCUCGUUAGGAUAUUCCAGUUUACGCCAAGAAUGAAACAACAAAGGAAAAUCUAACUUAUAAUCCUCUGUAAUAAUUUGUGCUUCUCUUCAAAACACCUGGAGUUCCUAAAAUUAUUAUUCUACUAAUCAUAAAAUUAUAUUCUCAUGCAUGCUUCUCCUUAGUUUAAGUUUUUGCUUGAGUUGGCAGCUGGUUUAAUCAAUUAACUCGGUAUUAUCUGCAACUAGCUUGAAGUAUAAGAUCUUAUCGUCUAUACAUUGGUUAGCGUAUCCGUGAACAAAUAAGGGUUCAAGCCAGAGCUAUGUGUAAUUGUGCUAUUACAGAAAAUUCCUGUGUAUCUCCUUACUGUUCUCACCCUUGCUAUGUCUCCUAUGUAUACAUAUACAUAAUGAAUAUCAAGUGGAUACAUCACAAAUUCUUAUCUAUCUUCUUAUCAUCCCUGUUAUAUUUCUACUAGGCAUAAAUUCUGAAUUGGUUCACUAUCAUCCUUGUAAUGCUACAAAGUGUGUGGUCUAUCACUCUUUCUGAAAGUUUCAUCAUAUGACUUAUACAAGUUUGGUAACACUAUAGUUUGCUCAACUUUGGAUAUCUUCUAGGUUCUUAUAUCGUAUUUAAUGUACUCUUUCUCUACUCGUUUGGAAAAUUUCCACUGCGUAAUAUAUGUCGUUGAAUAGCGUGAUGAUACUGCUCCAACCACUGCUUAAAGUGUCUAUCUUCCGCGGAUGUUUGCAGAUCCUUAAACUUAUCCUUUAAGAUUUGAGUGGUCCAGUAUAUCAUAGUAGCACCUUUACCUCUCUCUCAUCUCGCUGUUCUGUGGCAAAACUUCUCUAUCAUUCGUGUGAGCUUUAUGUUUCUUUCUCCUUGUCCCAUGUCCCCAACUUUCGGUACGAGUCAUCUAGAGUUUUACCUGAGGCAUUGGUAACAACCUUCUUAGCUUCUCUCUUAACUCUGUUACACUCUUCAAAGAUUUUACCGUCUUUUGCUUUUUGUAACUACCUCUACAGCUAUACAACAAUAGCUUUUUGUCCUUAUUCCAUCACAAUGAUUCUUUCAAGGCCUUUGGAAACAUCUAGAACUUUACCAUCGUGGUGCCUCUUUUUGUUUGUUAUGCUGAAGGUAUGUGUGACUUUCGACUUUUAUAAAAGUUUUAGUUUUUUUUUUUUUUUUUUUAAACAGUUAAGCUGGGAACUCUAUUCCUAUUAGAUGGAGGAUGCACUUCAAUUUACUAUCUGUCUUUGCAAGUAUGUUAGCAUUUGUUGAUACUACCUCUCUGGAUAUUCAUCAUUCAAAAGCAUCCCUUUAACCUAACUUUUCCAUAUUCAACAAUUAUGCCCUAUGCCUAGGCCCAAUUUUCUGAUACCGUUGGGCUGUUUCGUUGCCCAUUCUUGCUUUGACCCGCUAUGUAUAUUCUUGGUCUGAAUUUUCAAAUAGUAGGUAGAUGCUGCAACAGUAGUGUCCUUGGUGCUUUCUACAUCUCAUGAAAACGUUUUACUUUUACAGAGCUAGUUGCAACUUCUUCUUAUGCAAGGACAGUCAAAUUCAUCAAGGUCGUCAAGAGUGAGAGGUCUGUUGGUUUCAGAGGGGCCGGUUGACACAUUUUGAGGUGUGCAGCGUGGAUAGUUUCUUCUUCAGAGUUCCCAUUCAAUGUAGAUAUAGGAGUUCCUUUUUCUUUUUGUUGCAACAAGGUAAAGUGUGCCAUAGGAAAUCUUUAACAAUGGGAAGUGUGAUGCAGGUUGUGUGCCUUGAAACUAGCCUCUGGCUAUGAUUGUUUCUCUGCAGAUGGAAUUUCAUGUAGAUCUGUGAAUCAAAAGGUCGAUGCCUGCAAAUUACUCCGAUUGCUUGUUACCA